GACGAACGCUGGCGGCGUGCUUAACACAUGCAAGUCGAACGGAAAGGCCCUGCUUUUGCGGGGUGCUCGAGUGGCGAACGGGUGAGUAACACGCGAGUAACCUGCCCUUGACUUUGGGAUAACUUCAGGAAACUGGGGCUAAUACCGGAUAGGAGCUCCUGCUGCAUGGGGGGGGUUGGAAAGUUUCGGCGGUUGGGGAUGGACUCGCGGCUUAUGAGCUUGUUGGUGGGGUAGUGGCUUACCAAGGGUUUGACGGGUAGCCGGCCUGGGAGGGUGACCGGCCACCUUGGGACUGCGAUACGGACCAGUAUCCUACGGGCGGCAGCAGUGGGGAACAUUGCACAAUGGGCGGAAGCCUGAUGCAGCAACGCCGCGUGCGGGAUGACGGCCUUCGGGUUGUAAACCGCUUUCGCCUGUGACGAAGCGUGAGUGACGGUAAUGGGUAAAGAAGCACCGGCUAACUACGUG
Molecule: ribosomal RNA, 468 nt
Filed under: uncultured bacterium
Lineage: Bacteria
Description: partial 16S ribosomal RNA
Rfam family: Bacterial small subunit ribosomal RNA
Source: RNAcentral